This 193-nucleotide unclassified non-coding RNA is filed under the name uncultured fungus. RNAcentral describes it as "sequence contains ITS1, 5.8S rRNA gene". Lineage: Eukaryota; Fungi. The record is from RNAcentral.
UUAUUAUGUUUAUUAAAACUGUUACAUUCAUAAGACUGGGGUAUGUAUAAAAUUGAUGACUCUCAUUGCAGACUUGCGUCUUUUAUAAGAGCCAAACGGUGCACAGGUGUAUGUGGAUGUGAAGGGUGAGAGGUCAAUGAAGACGCUCUCGAUUUAAUCACUAGUGAUCCUUCCGCAGGUUCACCUACGGAAA